ACGGAAGGCAGCAGUGGGGAAUAUUGCACAAUGGGGGAAACCCUGAUGCAGCAACGCCGCGUGAAGGAAGACGGUCUUCGGAUUGUAAACUUUUGUUCUUAGUGAAGAUAAUGACGGUAGCUAAGGAGCAAGCCACGGCUAACUACGUGCCAGCAGCCGCGGUAAUACGUAGGUGGCAAGCGUUGUCCGGAAUUACUGGGUGUAAAGGGAGCGCAGGCGGGAAAUCAAGUUGGAUGUGAAAUGUCGGGGCUUAACCCCGGAACUGCAUCCAAAACUGAUUUUCUUGAGUGAAGUAGAGGUAGGCGGAAUUCCGAGUGUAGCGGUGAAAUGCGUAGAUAUUCGGAGGAACACCAGUGGCGAAGGCGGCCUGCUGGGCUUUAACUGACGCUGAGGCUCGAAAGUGUGGGGAGCAAACAGGAUUAGAUACCCUGGUA
RNAcentral lists this ribosomal RNA (434 nucleotides) under uncultured Clostridium sp. RNAcentral describes it as "partial 16S ribosomal RNA". It matches the Rfam family "Bacterial small subunit ribosomal RNA", at positions 341 to 792 of the family's 1533-position model. The record is from RNAcentral. Lineage: Bacteria; Bacillati; Bacillota; Clostridia; Eubacteriales; Clostridiaceae.